RNAcentral lists this long non-coding RNA (2845 nucleotides) under Ananas comosus (pineapple). RNAcentral describes it as "long non-coding RNA (ACOM_LNC029517)". Lineage: Eukaryota; Viridiplantae; Streptophyta; Magnoliopsida; Poales; Bromeliaceae. The record is from RNAcentral.
UUUUUAUUUAAUAUGUAACGGCCAAUUUGCAUAAAAAAUUCACUAGUUUUGGGCUUUUGCAAAAUUGAGUCACCUUUUUCAUUUUUGCAGAUUCGGUCUGUUUUUUCAAAAAGAUGACCAAACUAUCCCUCUUUUAAAAUGCAUAAAAAGUACAUGCAUUAAUUAUCUUAAAAAAUGCAGCUGACAAGUCAUUAUUACAGUUACCUUUUUCUUGAAAAAUGAAGUUCUCAUUAACAUACAAAUAAAAAAUUUCAAAUAAUAAAAGCAAAAAAGAAAGAAUGGAAUACACCUUAAAUGGUGCAACAUCGUUCCAAAUUGUGCAAUAUUUCUUCCAAAUAGUGUAAUAUUUGUGUAAACAGUGCAAUGUUUGCACAAUUUAUAUAAUGUUGCACAAUUUUUUAUACUAAAUUACGAAUAACAUAGUAUACUACGCGCAAAUAAUAUAACAUAUUACAAUAUACUAUAAAAAUCAUGUAUUAUAUGUUUAAACGGUGAAUAUUUUGCACUAUUUGUACAAAUAUUUACACCAUUUGCAUAGAUGUUGUAUUAUUAUGAGAGAAUGUUGCACCAUUUAGAUAUUAUGUUGCACUCUUUUUUAAAAAAAAUUAAAAUAUAUUAUAUAUUAAAUAAAGUGUUAAAUUUCUUGGAAAUGACAACUGUUAAGUCAUAAUUAUAUGUAACUUUCUCGAGAAACGAGAAUCCUCAUUUAACUAAGAUAAAAUAAAAAAUAAAAUAUCAUUAAUAUAAUGAAAGAGUGCAACAUCUUCUUAAAGAGUGCAACAUAGUCUCAAAUAGUGCAACAUUCUCUUCCAAAUAGUGCAGUAUUUAUGUAAAUAGUGAAAUAUAUGCAUCGUUAAUACACAUAUUGCAUGAUUUUUAUAUAAAAUUAUGAAUAAUAUAAUAUAUUACGUGAAAAUAAUACGAAAAUAAUAUAACAUAUUAAAAUAUACUAUAAAAAUCAUACAUUAUAUGUAUAAACGGUGAAUAUUUUGCACUAUUUGUACAAAAAUUUACACUAUUUGCAUAGAUGUUGCACUAUUAUGAAAUAAUGUUGCAUCAUUUAGAUCUUAUGUUGCACUCUUUCUUUUUUAAAAUUAAAGUGCAUUGUAUAUUAAAUAAAGUGUUAAAUUUCUUGGAAAUGACAACUGCUAAGUCAUAAUUAUAUGUACCUUUCUCGAGAGAUAAGAAUCCUCAUUUAAUUAAGAUAAAAUAAAAAAUAAAGUAUCAUUAAUACAAUGAAAGAGUGCAAUAUUUAUGUAAAUAGUGCAAAAUAUGUAUCGUUAAUACACAUAUUGAAUGAUUUUUUAUACAAAAUUACGAAUAAUAUAAUAUAUUACGUGGAAAUAACACGAAAAUAAUAUAACUUAUUACAAAAUACUAUAAAAAUCAUACAUUAUAUUAUAAACGGUACAUAUUUUGCACUAUUUGUAUAAAUAUUUACACCAUUUGUAUAUAUAUUGCACUAUUAUGAGAGAAUGUUACACCAUUUAGAUGGUAUGUUGCACUCUUUCUUUUUAAAAAUUAAACUGCUUAUCUAUUAAAUAAAGAGUGCAAUUUCUUGGAAAUGAUAACUGCUAAGUAAUAAUUGCAUGUACCUUUCUCGAGAGACGAGAAUGCUCAUUUAAGACAAAAUACAAAAAGUAAAGUAUUGUUAAUAAGAUGAAAGAGUGCAACAUUCUCUCAAAUAGUGCAACAUCCUUUUAAAUGGUGUAACAUUAGAGAGAAUAUUGCACUAUUUCAUUCUAAUGUUGCAAUUUUUUAUUAUAUUAAUAAUAAUUUAUUUUUUAUUUUAUCUUAAAUAAAUGAGGAUUUUCGUCUUUCGAGAAAAGUACAUAUAAUUAUGACUUAGCAGCUGUCAUUUUCAAGAAAUUUAAAAUUUUAUUUAAUAUACAAUACACUUUAAUUUUUAAAAAGAAAGAGUACAACAUAACAUCUAAAUGAUGCAACAUUAUCUCAUAAUAGUGCAACAUCUAUGCAAAUGGUGUAAAUUUUUGUACAAAUAGUGCAAAAUAUUCACCGUUUAUACAUAUAAUAUAUGAUUUUUAUAGUAUAUUUUAAUAUGUUAUAUUAUUUUCGUGUUAUUUUCACGUAAUAUAUUAUAUUAUUCGUAAUUUUGUAUAAAAAUCAUGCAAUAUGUGUAUUAACUAUGCAUAUAUUGCACUAUUUAUAUAAAUAGUGCACUAUUUGGAAGAGAAUGUUGCACUAUUUGAGACUAUGUUGCACUCUUUAAGAGGAUGUUGCACUCUUUCAUUGUAUUAAUGAUAUUUUAUUUUUUAUUUUAUCUUAAUUAAAUGAGGAUUCUCGUCUCUCGAGAAAGGUACAUGUAAUUAUGACUUAGCAGUUGUUAUUUCCAAGGAAUUUAACACUUUAUUAAUAUACAAUGCACUUUAAUUUUUAAAAAGAAAGAGUGCAAUAUAACAUCUAAAUGGUGCAACAUUAUCUCAUAAUAGUAUAACAUUUAUAUAAAUGGUGUAAAUAUUUGUACAAAUAGUGCAAAAUAUUCACCGUUUAUACAUAUAAUACAUGAUUUUUAUAAUAUAUUGUAAUACGUUAUAUUAUUUGCGCGUAGUAUACUAUAUUAUUCGUAAUUUAGUAUAAAAAAUUGUGCAACAUUAUAUAAAUUGUGCAAACAUUGCACUGUUUAUACAAAUAUUACACUAUUUGGAAGAAAUAUUGCACAAUCUGGAACAAUAUUGCACCAUUUAAGGUGUAUUCCAUUCUUUUUUUUUACUUUUAUUAUUUGAAGUUUUUUAUUUGUAUGUUAAUGAGAAUUUCAUUUUUCAAGAAAAAGGUAACUGUAAUAAUGAUUUGUCAGCUGCAUUUUUUAAGAUAAUUAAUGCAUAUA